This 345-nucleotide ribosomal RNA is filed under the name Triticum aestivum (bread wheat). Its description in RNAcentral is "partial small subunit ribosomal RNA". The record is from RNAcentral. Lineage: Eukaryota; Viridiplantae; Streptophyta; Magnoliopsida; Poales; Poaceae.
AUGCUUAGGAAGAUGUUCCAAGGUGGUUCCUCUAAGAAGCAAGGACCCAGGAUUGCUAUGCGCAAUGCUGACGAGGAUCCACCAAGAGACGCUCUAGUACGGCCUUGUGAAUGGCCGUCGGAAAAUUUUAUGGACCGUGCGGGAAUUAAAGAACAAUUCAAAGCAUAUUUGCGCAAUGCCGGUCUUGAGGAUUUUGAGGCUAACAAAUGCCCCCAGUAUCAUGAUCUCACAAGUUCAUUUGUAAGGAGGCAAAAGAAAGAUAUAUUAUUACCAGAGAGAAGUCAGAAGAGUACGAGAGGAGAGAGGAGGCAGCUCGACUCCACGCUGCAGCUCAGCAGGCGAUAA